This 22-nucleotide microRNA is filed under the name Pteropus alecto (black flying fox). RNAcentral describes it as "pal-miR-664a-3p". Its record names the gene pal-miR-664a-3p. Lineage: Eukaryota; Metazoa; Chordata; Mammalia; Chiroptera; Pteropodidae. The record is from miRBase by way of RNAcentral.
UUCAUUUAUCUCCCAGCCUACA